RNAcentral lists this ribosomal RNA (571 nucleotides) under uncultured Gammaproteobacteria bacterium. RNAcentral describes it as "bacterial SSU rRNA". It matches the Rfam family "Bacterial small subunit ribosomal RNA", at positions 8 to 574 of the family's 1533-position model. The record is from RNAcentral. Lineage: Bacteria; Pseudomonadati; Pseudomonadota; Gammaproteobacteria.
AGAGUUUGAUCCUGGCUCAGAGUGAACGCUGGCGGCAUGCCUAACACAUGCAAGUCGAACGGUAACGGGCCCGCAAGGGUGCCGACGAGUGGCGGACGGGUGAGGAACACAUCGGAAUUUGCCCAGUCGUGGGGGAUAACGUAGGGAAACUUACGCUAAUACCGCAUACGACCGGGAGGUGAAAGCGGGGGAUCGCAAGACCUCGCGCGAUUGGAUGAGCCGAUGUCGGAUUAGCUAGUUGGUGGGGUAAAGGCCUACCAAGGCGACGAUCCGUAGCUGGUCUGAGAGGAUGAUCAGCCACACUGGGACUGAGACACGGCCCAGACUCCUACGGGAGGCAGCAGUGGGGAAUAUUGGACAAUGGGGGCAACCCUGAUCCAGCAAUGCCGCGUGUGUGAAGAAGGCCUUCGGGUUGUAAAGCACUUUUGUCCGGAACGAAACGUGUCGGGUGAAUAGCCCGGCAAACUGACGGUACCGGAAGAAUCAGCACCGGCUAACUUCGUGCCAGCAGCCGCGGUAAUACGAAGGGUGCAAGCGUUACUCGGAAUUACUGGGCGUAAAGCGUGCGUAG